UUAAUGAGAGUUUGAUCCUGGCUCAGGACGAACGCUGGCGGCGUGCCUAAUACAUGCAAGUAGAACGCUGAAGGAGGAGCUUGCUUCUCCGGAUGAGUUGCGAACGGGUGAGUAACGCGUAGGUAACCUGCCUGGUAGCGGGGGAUAACUAUUGGAAACGAUAGCUAAUACCGCAUAAUAGCAGUUAUUGCAUGAUAACUGUUUGAAAGGUGCAAUUGCACCACUACCAGAUGGACCUGCGUUGUAUUAGCUAGUUGGUGGGGUAACGGCUCACCAAGGCGACGAUACAUAGCCGACCUGAGAGGGUGAUCGGCCACACUGGGACUGAGACACGGCCCAGACUCCUACGGGAGGCAGCAGUAGGGAAUCUUCGGCAAUGGACGGAAGUCUGACCGAGCAACGCCGCGUGAGUGAAGAAGGUUUUCGGAUCGUAAAGCUCUGUUGUAAGAGAAGAACGAGUGUGAGAGUGGAAAGUUCACACUGUGACGGUAUCUUACCAGAAAGGGACGGCUAACUACGUUCCAGCAGCCGCGGUAAUACGUAGGUCCCGAGCGUUGUCCGGAUUUAUUGGGCGUAAAGCGAGCGCAGGCGGUUAGAUAAGUCUGAAGUUAAAGGCUGUGGCUUAACCAUAGUACGCUUUGGAAACUGUUUAACUUGAGUGCAAGAGGGGAGAGUGGAAUUCCAUGUGUAGCGGUGAAAUGCGUAGAUAUAUGGAGGAACACCGGUGGCGAAAGCGGCUCUCUGGCUUGUAACUGACGCUGAGGC
Molecule: ribosomal RNA, 765 nt
Filed under: Salmonella enterica subsp. enterica serovar Typhi
Lineage: Bacteria; Pseudomonadati; Pseudomonadota; Gammaproteobacteria; Enterobacterales; Enterobacteriaceae
Description: bacterial SSU rRNA
Rfam family: Bacterial small subunit ribosomal RNA
Source: RNAcentral